RNAcentral lists this transfer RNA (86 nucleotides) under Nitrospina gracilis Nb-211. RNAcentral's name for it is "tRNA-Ser". It matches the Rfam family "tRNA". From Rfam's summary of the family: Transfer RNA (tRNA) molecules are approximately 80 nucleotides in length. Lineage: Bacteria; Pseudomonadati; Nitrospinota; Nitrospinia; Nitrospinales; Nitrospinaceae. RNAcentral also lists the same sequence under 4 other names. The record is from RNAcentral.
GGAGAGGUGGCCGAGCGGUUGAAGGCGCACGCUUGGAAAGCGUGUGUAGGUGACCCCUACCGAGGGUUCGAAUCCCUCCCUCUCCG